CGAUAAUACUUAUUUGUAAGUAGCCAACUAGGUACGACUACUGAGGAUGGACCCGCGUUGUAUUAGCUAGUUGGUAGUGUAAUGGACUACCAAGGCGAUGAUACAUAGCCGACCUGAGAGGGUGAUCGGCCACAUUGGGACUGAGACACGGCCCAAACUCCUACGGGAGGCAGCAGUAGGGAAUCUUCGGCAAUGGACGAAAGUCUGACCGAGCAACGCCGCGUGAGUGAAGAAGGUUUUCGGAUCGUAAAACUCUGUUGUUAGAGAAGAAUGUUGAUUAGAGUGGAAAAUUAAUCAAGUGACGGUAUCUAACCAGAAAGGGACGGCUAACUACGUG
RNAcentral lists this ribosomal RNA (337 nucleotides) under uncultured bacterium. RNAcentral's name for it is "bacterial SSU rRNA". It matches the Rfam family "Bacterial small subunit ribosomal RNA", at positions 171 to 507 of the family's 1533-position model. The record is from RNAcentral.